AGCAUGCAUCACCCACAACGAGGCUAUCUCCGAGAGCAGUCAUUCCGAAACCUGAUCUGGGAGAAAGUGCAGACUAAAUAAAAUUUCAUUUUGACUUGGCCUCCCGCUGAGAAUGGGACUGCUUUGUUUCAGCCAACAGAAGCAGCAAGCCAGAAAGAAAAGGAUCCACUUUUUUUCUCUUUUACAUCAAAAAAAAAUUGGGAAGGCGAUAUCUCUUCAAACAACUUCUUCCUAGCUGUGUUGUUUACUGCUGUCAGAAGAUAUCAGGUGUCAUCUCUGCCAAGACCCCAUGAACAGACUGCAAGACCAUAAAAAGAGGUUGUAGAGCUUUGUCCAUGCACAACUAUACAAAUACAGUAUACUGUACUUCAUAGAUACAAUGUAAGCAGCAUCUUGCUGCCGAGAAGCAUACCACUUUCCUGACACUUUUCUAUUGGUGAGAGAAAGCUGGAUGUCUGCCUCUUUAUUUUACUUGAAAAAAUGUAUGUGUGGACAAUCUAUUAUUAUAUUAUUAUAUUACAUUCAAUGCACAGCAAGUUAAGUUGAGUAAACAUUGUGCAUUGAACUGUAGGAAGCAUUUGCAGCAAUUGAGUGAAAAUGUAAGUGGUAGGAAAUUAUUUCUUUUCCUGGGCCCACCUGUUCUUUAAACCGGCACUGGAUGCAAGUCAGGAUAACAUAGUACUGUUUGAUGCUGCAUUAUCAACAAGCUGUAUGUUUCAUCCAGAAAAUGUGGUGUUCUUACAGUACCUCAUGGUGGUGUAGUUUUAAUUUCAUUUACAAAAAUCUUGGCUGACAGCAACAUUGUCCUCUUUGCAUUAAUCAUAAUACUUUAACAUCACCACAUAGCUGGAAUUCUAAAUAAAUGAUAAAAAAAAUUCCCUUUCCUUGAACAUUUUGCAGUUCGUUAACAAGCACUAGCACUUGCUGUUGAUGAGAGGCUCAAGAGUAGGUCGUUAGUCAAUUUGUUUUUGAAGAGUAAAGAUAUAAAAACUAUUUUUUUUUAAAUAUUGGCCUUAUAUUCAAUUUUUAGCCAGUUGACAGAAAACAGACCAAUGCAUAAAUCAGCCAAGUGUUUGAACAUAAACUCUGGAAUUAUAUUUUCAGCCUGGGUAGAAUUUGCCAUCAACAAGCAUACACAUAAACACAUGAGAAAGGUCUCAAUCAGAAUAUACAAUAUACAAUAUAGCAAUGUCAAUGUGCCUUUAUCUUGUGUCUUAGUUGAAUUGCUUUGGAGAUAAUCUGUUUAGUGGCAAAAUAUAUGUUACAGUACAUGGACCAGAUGUAAUCCUGAACAGCCACCAACUCGGGUGGCAGUACAUCUGGCCCCAUAGUUGCAAAAGUCUGCCUUGAACACAGUUAAGAAUGAACACUUGCUUCUCCAACCCAUUCCCAUUAUCCAGUGCAAGCCUUUGCAUCUCUGCAAACUUCAUCAUCUUGCCCUGCAAACCCAUUUACUUUGGAAAACAACUGCAGUCACUCCAGCGCAAAUCUAAGUGCAUGACAUUACCAAGUAAGAUUUCUUCUGCUGCUCUACAAUUUUGUGUGUCAUAAAUAGCAUUCAAAGCAUUCAAGUGGUUCUAUAGAAAAAUGAAACUUUGGAUAACGGAAAGGCUGUAUUAAGCAUUAUGGUUUUUAAGUUGGGACAGGUUCUUGCAUGUAUGUCAGAUUUGCAGGUGAGGCUUGUUCAUUAAUUUAUUGGUGUGACUGGCUGGGAGGCCAAUGUUUUUUGUGGGAGUGGUUGUGUCUGGCUGUGGAAUCUAUAAAACCUUAGGUUGGUCUGGUAUUUUAUGUAGCCUUGGAACUUUUGCCAUUUCUGUAUCACUGAUGUGACAAAGUCAAGAAAAAGUAAAUAAAACAA
This is a long non-coding RNA of Pseudophryne corroboree (corroboree frog), 1858 nucleotides long. RefSeq lists it as uncharacterized. The transcript is spliced from 3 exons. Lineage: Eukaryota; Metazoa; Chordata; Amphibia; Anura; Myobatrachidae. The record is from RefSeq and is a predicted model, not a curated record.